This 207-nucleotide long non-coding RNA is filed under the name Hordeum vulgare. Its description in RNAcentral is "long non-coding RNA (HVUL_LNC000923)". Lineage: Eukaryota; Viridiplantae; Streptophyta; Magnoliopsida; Poales; Poaceae. The record is from RNAcentral.
GUUUUUGUUGUUGUUUUUGUUGUUGUCAUUGUCGUCAUCAUCGUUAUUUUUGUUGUUGUCAUUGUUGUCUUUGAUGUCGUCGUUCUCGCUGUUAUCGUUGUGGUUGUCAUUGUUGUCGUUGUUCUCGUCAUUGUCGUUGUUGUCGUCCUUGUCAUCGUUGUAGUUGUUGUGGUUGAUGUUGUUGUCGUGGUUGUUCUUGUUGUUGUU